This is a long non-coding RNA of Drosophila pseudoobscura, 673 nucleotides long. RefSeq lists it as uncharacterized. Lineage: Eukaryota; Metazoa; Arthropoda; Insecta; Diptera; Drosophilidae. The transcript is spliced from 3 exons. The record is from RefSeq and is a predicted model, not a curated record.
AUAUCGAUAAGACAUUCUCCAUCCAACAACCCCAUCCCUAUAUACAUAUGAGUUUUACUUGGUGGAAGGUCAAUCUCAACAGCACCAUCCAGUGGGAGAACCUCACGCGGUACGCCCCAGCCCCUCCCUCUACUGCAGUCGGCACCACUUAAUUACUAUUAGAAGUCGCUGUCAAUGCUGACUUCGCCGCAUUGACCUGGGUUUCGAAAUGUGGGACCCAGUUAUGGGUCGUUACAACCUUCAAUUGAACUCAACCGAUCCUCACCCUCACACACUGCUCCGCGGUGGCUUUCGUGAGCAGACAUCGUAUAAGAGUUAUUAGAUUGAACGUUAGAAUAGGGACCAAAAUGGAUAAAGAAAAGGGGCAACAAAUUGAGGCGCUGCUUGGUUGUUGCCAUGGUAAUUAUGGUUAAUACAAAAGAUCUACAUAGCAUAGGGUUCGGUUGGAUAAUCGUGCAGAAUGAUGAUCAUUCCGCAGCACAGGAUUAAAGAAGAGUACAACAGUGUUCGGCGUACGAUAAUUUAUAUUAAUGUUUAACAAUAUUUGUUUGUUUUGGGGAUCCUGUAGAAUGCCUCCCGAUUAAUUACAAGGAUUUAACUAUACAUAAUCAACAUGAUUUGUGAAAGGAGAACAAUAAUCAAACCGUAUAAGGAUAACAUUUGUAAAUCAUGC